This 250-nucleotide ribosomal RNA is filed under the name uncultured bacterium. RNAcentral's name for it is "partial 16S ribosomal RNA". It matches the Rfam family "Bacterial small subunit ribosomal RNA", at positions 524 to 773 of the family's 1533-position model. The record is from RNAcentral.
UACGUAGGAAGCAAGCGUUAUCCGGAUUUACUGGGCGUAAAGUGGACGUAGGCGGCCUUUCAAGUCGGAUGUGAAAUCUCCUGGCUUAACUGGGAGGGGUCAUCCGAUACUGUUGGGCUAGAGGACAGCAGGGGAAGGUGGAAUUCCCGGUGUAGUGGUGAAAUGCGUAGAUAUCGGGAGGAACACCAGUGGCGAAGGCGGCCUUCCAGGCUGUUUCUGACGCUGAGGUCCGAAAGUGUGGGGAGCGAAC